Molecule: long non-coding RNA, 152 nt
Organism: Scomber japonicus (chub mackerel)
Lineage: Eukaryota; Metazoa; Chordata; Actinopteri; Scombriformes; Scombridae
Exons: 3
Source: RefSeq, a predicted model, not a curated record
CUCAAGAUCUCCAACAUCACCGCUAAUCAGAGAAACAUCUAUUUGAGAAUUAUCGCAAAAGGCGACAAUUAUAGUUUCAAACACAACGUUGUCUCGAUUUUUUUGUCUGGUGUUAAACCAGACAUUAUUAACCAAGAUACUACAAGUCCCCC